CAACUUUCAGCAAUGGAUCUCUUGGCUCUCGCAUCGAUGAARAACGCAGCGAAAAGCGAUAUGUAAUGUGAAUUGCARAUCUACAGUGAAUCAUCGAAUCUUUGAACGCACCUUGSGCUCCUCGGUGUUCCGAGGAGCAUGCCUGUUUGAGUGUCAGUA
RNAcentral lists this ribosomal RNA (159 nucleotides) under Rhizopogon roseolus. RNAcentral's name for it is "5.8S ribosomal RNA". It matches the Rfam family "5.8S ribosomal RNA". From Rfam's summary of the family: 5.8S ribosomal RNA (5.8S rRNA) is a component of the large subunit of the eukaryotic ribosome. It is transcribed by RNA polymerase I as part of the 45S precursor that also contains 18S and 28S rRNA. The record is from RNAcentral. Lineage: Eukaryota; Fungi; Basidiomycota; Agaricomycetes; Boletales; Rhizopogonaceae.